CACGUAGGGUGCGAGCGUUGUCCGGAAUUACUGGGCGUAAAGAGCUCGUAGGUGGUUUGUCGCGUUGUUCGUGAAAACCGGGGGCUUAACCCUCGGCGUGCGGGCGAUACGGGCAGACUGGAGUACUGCAGGGGAGACUGGAAUUCCUGGUGUAGCGGUGGAAUGCGCAGAUAUCAGGAGGAACACCGGUGGCGAAGGCGGUUCUCUGGGCAUUACCUGACGCUGAGGAGCGAAAGUGUGGGGAGCGAACAGG
This 253-nucleotide ribosomal RNA is filed under the name uncultured bacterium. Its description in RNAcentral is "partial 16S ribosomal RNA". It matches the Rfam family "Bacterial small subunit ribosomal RNA", at positions 524 to 776 of the family's 1533-position model. The record is from RNAcentral.